GCUACCUUUUUCUUUUUUUAAGAAUGUGAAAAUGAGUACAGAUUUCAAUUUUUCUUAAUCAAAUUCCUAGGUGGUUUUUUUGUUUUGUUUGUUUUUCUGUCCAAGAGUUAUCUUCCUGAAGUAUCCACUUGGAGGGUAAAAGGCUUGGAGUUUCACUCAGAGUGACUGUAGGUGUUUAUACUCAAAGCAGGGUUCACCCUCGCUCAGUUUCAGUUCGGACUCACAAUCUUCUCAAGGGGAUGUCUCCUUGGCCCCUCUAUGCUACUAAACAUAAAAGUGAAAAUACACCUCAGAAAAGGCAAUUCAUCAGGAAUGACGGUUUCUUCUCUCAGCAGUAGUUCCUCAGAGCCUGAGUGGGCUGGGGCCUGGUGGAGGUCAAGCUCUGUUCUACCUGAGUAUGACCUGCCUCCAGAGCUCCUUCAGUGCAGCUGACAACAGGAGUGCCACUUACAAGGGGGAAGGAGCAGGUAUUAGGGGAGACAGGAGAGAGACCUAAGGAGUUACUGAGUAAAGGUGAGUUCCAGGCUUAUCAACUGAAAUUUCAGGAUUCUCACUCACUCAAGUAUGUAACAUUAACUCUAAAAUCACAUGCCACCCAGCAGCUAAGCACAUUUGGCAGUGCUGUUCAGUGUUUACCUCUCAGCUACUCUAUUCAAAACAAUGUAAAAACUCAAAGAACAACAUUUUGUAAGAAAAACAGGUUUAUAUAAUUUUAAUACUGGAGAAAAGCUAUAUAGUAAAUCUCUUAUGUUGGAAAUCAACUUUAUGACAAAUCAAGUAUUUUUAAGACAUCUUGACUUUGAACUGAGUAUAGUAUCUGUGCAUACAUUCUUCUUCUUCUUGUUUUUGUUUUUGUUUUUGUUUUUUCGAGACAGGGUUUCUCUGUAUAGCUCUGGCUGUCCUGGAACUCACUUUGUAGACCAGGCUGGCCUCAAACUCAGAAAUCUGCCUGCCUCUGGCUCCCAAAUGCUGGGAUCAAAGGUGUGUGCCACCAUGCCCGGCUCGCAUACAUUCUUCUUUUCCAUACAUUUUUUUUUCUUCUCUCUUUGUUUUUUUGGGGGGUGGGGUGGGGAGGGGUGUCUCAUUAUGUUGCCUUGGCUGUAACUCACUAUGUAGAUGAGACUGGCCUCAAACUUAGAUCUGCCUGCCUCUGCCUCUUGAUUGCUGGGAUUAAAAUCAUGUGCAGGAUGAUCCUUAUGUAACUUACAGCAUGACCUCUAAAUUUGGGGGUUAGUAGUAAUUUUGUUAUAUGAUUUCUAAACAACUAUUUUCCUAACAAUAUUUUCCUAUGUAUUCUUUGGUACCAAAAAAAAAAUUGUAGAACAGCAUAUUCAAUGCUCAUAUGUUUGGGUCAAGUAGAAAAAAUAAUGCUGAAAUUCACUGGAUUCUUGACUUUUCUGCACUAUGUUGUGGUAUUCCUCAGGUAUCAGUCUUGACCACAGUUUUUAAUAAGACAACUUACAGAUGAUAAAAUAAUUAAAUCAAUCAAUAUUAAUUUAAGUUAUACCAAGUAGUAUCUAAUGGAAAACAAAGAAAAUUACUAUUAUGGAAAACAAAACAUGAGUUAUGCAAAUAAUACUCAUUUAUGGAAUAACUCUUACCUCUCACAGGAUGUAAUUAAAGAGAAAUCUUAGAUGAAGUAAAGAAAAUCAUGCAUAUAUUUUAAAAAUUCACAAGUGGAAACAGUUAAAUAAAAAGCACCUGGUCAGAAGCACGUAGACUUUUAAGAUUAAUGUCAAGCAGUAUGUUGCUUCCAAGAGGAGAAAGUGAACAAAGGUGAUUGGGAAGAGAAAUGGAGACGUGUGUGGACUAUGCUAAUUUGAGACAUGUCAGUGAUCUUAACUUAUUCUUUUGUAUAUGUGAAAGACUAGUCUGACUGAAUAGCAACUGAAUAGCAAGCCCUGGAAUCGGUCCUAUCUUUGCAUCCCCACUGCUGUGAUUACAAAGCAUGGACCAGCACACCUGGCUUUUUAUAUUGAUCCUGAGAAUUAAACUCAGGUCUUCAUGCUUAUGGCAAAUAAUUUACUGAGAAGUUACCAUCCCAGUCCAAAUUCUAACCUUUUCUUAUACAUGAGAGACAAUAACCAAUACUAUAGAAUACUUUUGGCUAUUUUUUACAAACUUAAAUGAUGCUAAUGCUCUUAAAGUAUUACUUGUACAAUGUUUGUGAUGAGGGCUGGAGAAGAAUCAUUAUGCUCUCAAGUUAUCACAAAUAUCUGUUUACAUCAAAUCCAGUUUUUAAAACGAUACUUUAACAGCAAUUUGAGAACAUCUAUGCUUUUUUCCAGUUAUUCCCC
This 2297-nucleotide long non-coding RNA is filed under the name Mus musculus (house mouse). RNAcentral's name for it is "long non-coding RNA chr1:195042382-195044679". The record is from RNAcentral. Lineage: Eukaryota; Metazoa; Chordata; Mammalia; Rodentia; Muridae.